CAACGUUAGGGUUUCGCUUGCGAAGAAGCUCUUAAGCGCCGCACGGGUUCACUGCUUAAAUUCUCGAAAACAUGGCUGCCCAAAUCAGUAAGAAACGAAAGUUUGUUGCAGAUGGUGUUUUCUAUGCGGAGCUAAAUGAGGUACUGACCAGAGAACUGGCCGAGGAUGGCUACUCUGGUGUUGAAGUUAGGGUUACUCCCAUGCGCACUGAGAUCAUUAUUAGGGCUACUCGAACCCAGAAUGUUCUUGGUGAGAAGGGAAGAAGGAUCAGGGAGCUGACAUCUGUAGUACAGAAACGAUUCAAGUUUCCUGAGAACAGUGUGGAACUCUAUGCGGAGAAAGUGAACAACAGGGGCCUCUGUGCUAUUGCACAGGCUGAGUCUCUGCGUUACAAGCUCCUUGGAGGCCUUGCUGUUCGGAGGGCUUGCUAUGGUGUCUUGAGAUUUAUAAUGGAGAGUGGGGCAAAGGGAUGUGAGGUUAUUGUGAGUGGGAAGCUCCGGGCGCAGCGUGCCAAGUCCAUGAAAUUCAAGGAUGGGUACAUGAUCUCCUCUGGUCAACCUGUCAAGGAGUAUAUUGACUCUGCUGUCAGGCAUGUUCUUCUAAGACAGGGUGUGCUUGGUAUCAAGGUAAAGAUCAUGCUUGACUGGGAUCCUAAAGGCAAGGUGGGUCCAAUGACACCAUUGCCUGAUCUGGUUACUAUCCAUCCUCCCAAGGAAGAAGAAGAGUACGUUCCACCACCAGUACUAACAGCCAAUAUUGAGAUUCCAGUUGCAUAAAUCCUGAAUGUGGACUAAAUAAGUCUGUAGCACAGGUUUGAU
RNAcentral lists this unclassified non-coding RNA (818 nucleotides) under Hevea brasiliensis (rubber tree). The record is from RNAcentral. Lineage: Eukaryota; Viridiplantae; Streptophyta; Magnoliopsida; Malpighiales; Euphorbiaceae.